RNAcentral lists this ribosomal RNA (491 nucleotides) under uncultured bacterium. Its description in RNAcentral is "partial 16S ribosomal RNA". It matches the Rfam family "Bacterial small subunit ribosomal RNA", at positions 29 to 507 of the family's 1533-position model. The record is from RNAcentral.
GUGAACGCUGGCGGUAGGCCUAACACAUGCAAGUCGAACGGCAGCACAGUAAGAGCUUGCUCUUACGGGUGGCGAGUGGCGGACGGGUGAGGAAUACAUCGGAAUCUACUUUUUCGUGGGGGAUAACGUAGGGAAACUUACGCUAAUACCGCAUACGACCUACGGGUGAAAGCAGGGGAUCUUCGGACCUUGCGCGAGUGAAUGAGCCGAUGUCGGAUUAGCUAGUUGGCGGGGUAAAGGCCCACCAAGGCGACGAUCCGUAGCUGGUCUGAGAGGAUGAUCAGCCACACUGGAACUGAGACACGGUCCAGACUCCUACGGGAGGCAGCAGUGGGGAAUAUUGGACAAUGGGCGCAAGCUUGAUCCAGCCAUACCACGUGGGUGAAGAAGGCCUUCGGGUUGUAAAGCCCUUUUGUUGGGAAAGAAAAGCAGCAGGUUAAUACCCCGCUGUUCUGACGGUACCCAAAGAAUAAGCACCGGCUAACUUCGUG